UCGAAUCGACUCAGUUCAUUUAUCCCUUUACUACCAACUCUUUUACAAAAAGAAAAUCAGAAAGAUAGAGGAAUAUAUCUGUGUGCUUCACACGCGGUUCGGGAAGACGGGAACAGUCCACGAAGGUUCUGGACAAGUAGUACAAGCAUCCUGUCCAGCUUCUUGUGACUGACACACUUGUUUCCAACUUAUGGGCGAGUAAUGUUAAAGAAUAAAGACUUCACUUUGCUGUUUUGUCUCUUAAGUACGUAAUAUAUGUAUCUAUUGUAAUAGCUAGCUAGUUUAUAUUCCUUGUUCCACAAAACAGCCUCUUUUUUCUUUGGCC
This 325-nucleotide long non-coding RNA is filed under the name Panax ginseng (ginseng). RNAcentral describes it as "long non-coding RNA (PGIN_LNC011644)". The record is from RNAcentral. Lineage: Eukaryota; Viridiplantae; Streptophyta; Magnoliopsida; Apiales; Araliaceae.